GCCAUGGGGUAAGAUUGCGAACGCCCCGUGAGGCGUCAGCCCAAGUUUCGCAUGUAUCCGCCUAAACCAGGAGACAUGCUAUG
This is a non-coding RNA of Ruegeria meonggei, 83 nucleotides long. The record is from Rfam. Lineage: Bacteria; Pseudomonadati; Pseudomonadota; Alphaproteobacteria; Rhodobacterales; Roseobacteraceae.